This is a long non-coding RNA of Austrofundulus limnaeus, 306 nucleotides long. RefSeq lists it as uncharacterized. The transcript has 2 exons. The record is from RefSeq and is a predicted model, not a curated record. Lineage: Eukaryota; Metazoa; Chordata; Actinopteri; Cyprinodontiformes; Rivulidae.
GCGGCAUUGGCUGGAGGGGGCUAAUCAUCCGUUCAUCGUUCUGACAGAUCAUAAGAACUUGGAGUACCUCAGAUCAGCUAGGAGGCUGAAUCCUCGUCAGGCCAGGUUGAGAGGGAGGUCAGGGAGGCCCACCAGGCUUUUCCACCACCAAGGGAUUGCCCGAAUGACCGCCUGUUUGUACCAGAUCAUCUGGUUAAUAAGGUAUUAACCUUCUGUCAUUCGUCACCUCUGUUUUGCCACCCGGGCAUAGGAAAGACCUUGGACUUAGUCAAAGCCCAGUUCUGGUGGGGUUCCUUGAACAAGGAC